UGAGGAAUAUUGGUCAAUGGGCGCGAGCCUGAACCAGCCAAGUAGCGUGAAGGAUGACGGCCCUAUGGGUUGUAAACUUCUUUUAUAUGGGAAUAAAGUUUGGUAUGCAUACCAUUUUGUAUGUACCAUAUGAAUAAGGAUCGGCUAACUCCGUGCCAGCAGCCGCGGUAAUACGGAGGAUCCGAGCGUUAUCCGGAUUUAUUGGGUUUAAAGGGAGCGUAGGUGGAUUGUUAAGUCAGUUGUGAAAGUUUGCGGCUCAACCGUAAAAUUGCAGUUGAAACUGGCAGUCUUGAGUACAGUAGAGGUGGGCGGAAUUCGUGGUGUAGCGGUGAAAUGCUUAGAUAUCACGAAGAACUCCGAUUGCGAAGGCAGCUCACUGGACUGUUGACUGACACUGAGGCUCGAAAGUGUGGGUAUCAAACA
Molecule: ribosomal RNA, 423 nt
Filed under: uncultured bacterium
Lineage: Bacteria
Description: bacterial SSU rRNA
Rfam family: Bacterial small subunit ribosomal RNA
Source: RNAcentral